This 72-nucleotide transfer RNA is filed under the name Ovis aries (sheep). It matches the Rfam family "tRNA". From Rfam's summary of the family: Transfer RNA (tRNA) molecules are approximately 80 nucleotides in length. Their secondary structure includes four short double-helical elements and three loops (D, anti-codon, and T loops). Lineage: Eukaryota; Metazoa; Chordata; Mammalia; Artiodactyla; Bovidae. The record is from Rfam by way of RNAcentral.
UCCCUGGUGGCUCAGAUGGUAAAGAAUCUGCCUGUAAUGCAGGAGACACAGGUUCGAUCCCUGGGUUGGGAA